RNAcentral lists this ribosomal RNA (367 nucleotides) under uncultured organism. Its description in RNAcentral is "bacterial LSU rRNA". It matches the Rfam family "Bacterial large subunit ribosomal RNA", at positions 2099 to 2465 of the family's 2925-position model. The record is from RNAcentral.
CUUUACUGUAGCCUGGUAUUGGGUUCGGGCUUGGCUUGCGCAGGAUAGGUGGGAGGCUAUGAGACAUUCCUUGUGGGGAGUGUGGAGCCAACAGUGAGAUACCACUCUAGCCAGGCUAGAAUUCUAACCGCUAGCCAUUAUCUGGCAGUGGAACCGUAUCAGGUGGGCAGUUUGACUGGGGCGGUCGCCUCCUAAAAGGUAACGGAGGCGCACAAAGGUUUCCUCAGGCUGGUUGGAAAUCAGCCGGAGAGUGUAAAGGCACAAGGAAGCUUGACUGCAAGAGGGACAACUCAAGCAGGGUGGAAACACGGUCUUAGUGAUCCGACGGCACUGCGUGGAAGGGCCGUCGCUCAACGGAUAAAAGUUA